UAACCCUCUCCAUGUCUCUCCUUACUCCCUACUCGCUCACCACCACCCCAUCAUCCUUCUUUUAACACCGUAAACUUCCACACUUCCACUCUUUGGUCAAUCCCUCUCAUAUUUUAAUUGCUGUUGUUGUUAAAAACAUCAAUUAUUUUUUAUGAACAGGAAUACCACAAACAUCAAUUGAACAAGAAAAUUAAUUAGGAAGAAUAUGAAGUAUUUAAUUUGACGAUGAUGGAGAAUACGGUGGUGGGGAUGGAGGAUGUCGGCGGCGGCGGAAGAGAUGAGAGAACGGAAAGAGGAAGAAAAUGUUUUUUU
RNAcentral lists this long non-coding RNA (312 nucleotides) under Medicago truncatula (barrel medic). Its description in RNAcentral is "long non-coding RNA (MTRU_LNC004677)". The record is from RNAcentral. Lineage: Eukaryota; Viridiplantae; Streptophyta; Magnoliopsida; Fabales; Fabaceae.